UGCGUGAACAGCGGAGGGAUCAUUA
This 25-nucleotide ribosomal RNA is filed under the name Monochaetia karstenii. Its description in RNAcentral is "partial 18S ribosomal RNA". The record is from RNAcentral. Lineage: Eukaryota; Fungi; Ascomycota; Sordariomycetes; Amphisphaeriales; Sporocadaceae.